Molecule: ribosomal RNA, 1962 nt
Filed under: human gut metagenome
Description: bacterial LSU rRNA
Rfam family: Bacterial large subunit ribosomal RNA
Source: RNAcentral
UUAAGUGAAUAAGGGCGCACGGUGGAUGCCUUGGCACUAGGAGCCGAUGAAGGACGGGACUAACACCGAUAUGCUUUGGGGAGCUGUAAGUAAGCUAUGAUCCAGAGAUUUCCGAAUGGGGGAACCCAAUAUCUUUUAUAGGAUAUUACUUUUCAGUGAAUACAUAGCUGAUUAGAGGUAGACGCAGAGAACUGAAACAUCUUAGUACCUGCAGGAAGAGAAAGAAAAUUCGAUUCCCUGAGUAGCGGCGAGCGAAACGGGAAGAGCCCAAACCAACAAGCUUGCUUGUUGGGGUUGUAGGACUCCAAUAUGGUAGUCUGUUAGUAUAGUUGAAGGAUUUGGAAAAUUCCGCUAAAGAGGGUGAAAGCCCCGUAGACGAAAUGCUGACAACACCUAGGAGGAUCCUGAGUACGGCGGAACACGAGAAAUUCCGUCGGAAUCCGCGGGGACCAUCCCGCAAGGCUAAAUACUCCCUAGUGACCGAUAGUGAACCAGUACCGUGAGGGAAAGGUGAAAAGCACCCCGGAAGGGGAGUGAAAUAGAUCCUGAAACCGUGUGCCUACAACAAGUCAAAGCUCGUUAAUGAGUGAUGGCGUGCCUUUUGUAGAAUGAACCGGCGAGUUACGAUUGCAUGCGAGGUUAAGUCGAAGAGACGGAGCCGCAGCGAAAGCGAGUCUGAAUAGGGCGAAUGAGUAUGUAGUCGUAGACCCGAAACCAUGUGAUCUACCCAUGUCCAGGUUGAAGGUGCGGUAAAACGCACUGGAGGACCGAACCCACGUACGUUGAAAAGUGCGGGGAUGAGGUGUGGGUAGCGGAGAAAUUCCAAACGAACUUGGAGAUAGCUGGUUCUCUCCGAAAUAGCUUUAGGGCUAGCCUCGGAAUUGAGAAUGAUGGAGGUAGAGCACUGUUUGGACUAGGGGCCCAUCUCGGGUUACCGAAUUCAGAUAAACUCCGAAUGCCAUUCAUUUAUAUCCGGGAGUCAGACUGCGAGUGAUAAGAUCCGUAGUCGAAAGGGAAACAGCCCAGACCACCAGCUAAGGUCCCAAAAUAUAUGUUAAGUGGAAAAGGAUGUGGGGUUGCACAGACAACUAGGAUGUUGGCUUAGAAGCAGCCACCAUUUAAAGAGUGCGUAAUAGCUCACUAGUCGAGUGACCCUGCGCCGAAAAUGUACCGGGGCUAAACAUAUUACCGAAGCUGUGGACUACACCAUUAGGUGUAGUGGUAGGAGAGCGUUCUAAGGGCGUUGAAGGUCGAUCGUGAGGACGGCUGGAGCGCUUAGAAGUGAGAAUGCCGGUAUGAGUAGCGAAAGACAGGUGAGAAUCCUGUCCACCGUAUGACUAAGGUUUCCUGGGGAAGGCUCGUCCGCCCAGGGUUAGUCGGGACCUAAGCUGAGGCCGAUAGGCGUAGGCGAUGGACAACAGGUUGAUAUUCCUGUACCAGUUGUUUUUGUUUGAGCAAUGGAGGGACGCAGUAGGCUAAGGAAUGCAUGCGAUUGGAAGUGCAUGUCCAAGCAAUGAGUCUUGAGUAGAGUUAAAUGCUUUACUCUUUAAGGACAAGUUGUGACGGGGAGCGAAAUAAUAGUAGCGAAGUUCCUGAUGUCACACUGCCAAGAAAAGCUUCUAGUGAGAAAACAACUGCCCGUACCGUAAACCGACACAGGUAGUCGAGGAGAGUAUCCUAAGGUGAGCGAGCGAACUCUCGUUAAGGAACUCGGCAAAAUGACCCCGUAACUUCGGGAGAAGGGGUGCUGACUUCGGUCAGCCGCAGUGAAUAGGCCCAAGCGACUGUUUAUCAAAAACACAGGUCUCUGCAAAAUCGUAAGAUGAAGUAUAGGGGCUGACGCCUGCCCGGUGCUGGAAGGUUAAGAGGAUGGGUUAGCUUCGGCGAAGCUCAGAAUUGAAGCCCCAGUAAACGGCGGCCGUAACUAUAACGGUCCUAAGGUAGCGAAAUUCCUUGUCGGGU